CGGUGAUGUCAGCUUCCUUUUAGUCAUAAUGAUAGGGAAUACCAAAGUCACUGAAAGAUGUGUUGGUAUUACGACAGACAUACUGCAGUGUGAACCAGAAGAGGUAUGUCGAAGAUGUCGAAGUGCUCAAACGACUUUUACUUGGAACCAGUGUCUGGGACAUGCCAACCUUGUGAUGAAUUAUGCCACCAAGCUACUGUCAGAGGGACGGUCGAACUUUGUCGAAAAUAUUGUCCAGUCGGUGUCGGAGCGCCUGUCACGGAUGUACCGAUUGAUCAGGUCACACACUUUGUGACACCUGCUUACGAGCAAUCAACCAUCAACCUGAGCAGUGAUAGUUCCCCCGGAGCACAAUACGCGGUCGUUAUUCUGUCUGUUCUGAUCAUCUUGAUUUCAAUCAUGGCGCUUGCUGUGCUCCUGAAAAGAGCAAUCCCAUCCUUCGAAAUACAAAAGAAACACAACGACACCCCCCGCACAACAUGGUAUAUUACUACCAAUCUACAAAAAACACCGUGAAAUGCCACACUCAAAUUUCAAGGCCUUUCUGGACAGCCUGUAAAUGGCCUGCACUAAACAAUAUCAUAAACAACAUCCCAUACAGAAAGCAUACAUAAUGAAACAAGUCAUAAGGCUGACCAACCAAUGUCAGCCAGUAGGGAUGAGGGUUAGUUCCUUGUGAGUUUUCGAAAAUUUCGUAUAUUAAGAAUGAUUCAAGCAUGGCUGUGAUUGAUAUUAGUGCACAUAUUGUUAUGCGAUACACAAAAAGAAUUAUAACCUGCCAAAGGCCUCAUACCAGAGAAAUUAAAGAAUGCUUAGCCACAUUUGAUGUGUCACUUACAAACGAUGUUUGGUGAUAAUAUUUGUUAUCACUUAAUACUUACCAAGCAAGAAUCUAUCAUUUUUAAAAACCUUUAUACAUUGCAAAAAUAUUUGACUCAAACACUGAAAACGUACAGUUUUUCUUGCUGACGAAACAUAAGCAUGUCGGAUACGGGUCCAAUACUUUCGCGUCGAUUUGCAAAAUUUCACGAUCCCCUUCUCCGAUAACAGCCAGGUGUUGAGCAUCUUCACAUUAUACUCCGUUUUUCUUCUUGUAUUUUCUUUUUUCAUACUUUCAACAUACUUCGGCUCAUUGAAUUCAUCCGAAGGAAUUUCCCCCGUUCCACUUAUUCAUUCAGUUUCAUCAAUCUACUGGAAAGCGACGCUAGCGUCCGAUCACCUGCCAAAGUUUGCCGCAACUAAAUCUAAACCAGAUAGAAUGGGACUGAGGCGAAUCCUAUAUUGAUGAAACAUCAAGACCAGUCACCAUUAGGAUCAAAGAACCCCAGGACUCAGUAAGAAACAUAUCCGCCAUAACCGACCACCUUAAAGCCAACCCGAACCACAACAUCAGUUGGAACACCACCAAAGUCAUCGAAAGGAACUAGCCUGAUUUCAAAACCCGAAAACUACUUGAAGCUGUCCACAUAAAGAAGAUUUGCUCAGCCAUUAACAGAGAUUAAGGAUAUUUCACCCCCAAGGCCUAUCAUCACUUGCUCAAUUAACUUCAUGUAACCCUACUCAACCAUUGUACAUUAUCCAUUGUGUAACACUAAACAUUAUCUAGUGUGUAACACUGUACAUUAUCUAGUGUGUAACACUGUACGUUAUCCCUUUUGUAGCACUGUACAUUAUCCAUUGUGUAACACUGUACAUUAUCUAUUGUACAUCUAUUGUGUAAACAUCACUUCACCACUAGCUUCCCAACAGUCCCUUUACCACUUAUGUAAACAACCUAUGUAUAUCAUUUCCUACUGGCUGCCCAUCAACAUCCUUUAUCCCUUAUGUAUACAACUAUGUACAUGUUCUUUACUGGCUUCCUACCAACCUACUUAAUCCUGUGUUAUCAACCUAUUCUAUUGUCUAACCAACUCAUUUUCGCCUCAUCCCUCAUCUAUUGUACAAACAUCUCAUGUAUAUAUAUCACCCAAAAUACUUCCCAUGUAUCACUUGCUUGACAACGACAUUAGAAUCUAUAUCGAAACAUCGCCUAUUUAGAAUAAAGAAGUUGUAUAUCCAUAAAAAUAGUCCCCAUUCUUCAUCUACCCAACUUCAAGAAUGCCAAUCAAAGGAGCAACUAAAUCUGACGUCAAGGAAUACAUGACGUCAUUUUAUUGUGUUACAUUCCAUGACGUCGAGCACAAAAUUGAGGAACCAGAUAUCGGUUAUCUUCCCCGCUUGGAGCCCGGACGUUUUGGGUUAUCUCGCCGGGUCCAGAUAUGGACCCAACGAUUUCGCCAUAUAUAUAGCAAAACAAUGCAUAUACGGGGAAAUUAUUACUGUAUUAAGUGAAACGUGAUUCAUAAACACAUGAUGCGACUUUGAGUAGAGACACCCCACGCAGACACCUGGUAUCAAGGCUGAUUUUCAGUUGACUAUUCAGAUACUUCUCACAUCUAUAUCGACCUUUCCGUCAGAUAGAAUCUGUUUCUAAGGACAGUCAAGAUGGUUGUAUUGACGUUAUGUUCAUAUAUAUUUAUAUAUUUUAUAUGAAAUAUUUUGUUGCUUACAUUUGAAGCCUAGGGCACAAAUGUCCUGUUAGUUACAACUUGUCUCUUAGAUUAUAAAAUGUAAUUUAUGGUACAUCCGUAAAGUGCACCCAGUAGCCUGGUGGUUAAAGCUUUCAGUCGUCACUCAAAAAACCUGGGUUAGAUUCCCCACAUGGGUACAAUAUGUGAAGCCCAUUUCUGGUGCCCCCUGACGUAAUGUUGCUGGAAUAUUGCCUGAAAUCGGCGUAAAGCUAAACUCACUUACUCACUAAUGCACUUGUUAAGUUUGAUCAAGAACAUGUUGCAGUUGAUCUUGAUUUCAAUAAAUAUGUAUAAUGAAUCAGUGCAGAUUUCAGUUAAUAUGGUAUUUCCUGAUAAUUUCAGUAAAUAUACAUAAUCCCUGACGGAAUCAGUAAAUUUACAUAUUUACUGAUUAUACAUAUUUAAUGAAACAUAAACACAUCGAACGAAAUAAAAACCUGCAUUAUAAUCCAC
Haliotis rubra (blacklip abalone) is the source of this 3023-nucleotide long non-coding RNA. RefSeq lists it as uncharacterized. Lineage: Eukaryota; Metazoa; Mollusca; Gastropoda; Lepetellida; Haliotidae. The record is from RefSeq and is a predicted model, not a curated record. The transcript is spliced from 4 exons.